Molecule: long non-coding RNA, 458 nt
Filed under: Gallus gallus (chicken)
Lineage: Eukaryota; Metazoa; Chordata; Aves; Galliformes; Phasianidae
Source: RNAcentral
CCGCGAUAUCCUCUCACGCAGCUUUUCAGUCAGGGUCAUCCUCAACCACUGUCACCUAGCUGCCAUGCCGGGACACAUCAGGGAGCCAGGCAGAUCCAGCAUGUGCAGCACCUCCAAGGCACUGAAUCCACUGUUUAACGGGCAGGAGCCUCAGAUUUCCAUGCUCUUCCCAAGGGAAUCCAGCUCUGCAGAAGAGGCACCGGCCAUCCCGAAACGUCAGCGCUGCACGGUCACCUCACGGCCUCCGCUGCGGGCCCGGCCGGCCGCUUCUCAGCGGGAACGUUCAGAACGCCCUUCUUUCUUCCUUUCCUUCCUUCCUUCUUUCCUCCCUUCCUCACCGGCAGUGUAACAGCGGCUUUGUUUCACCCGUCCCGGCCGCUCCGUCCCUUUCCUUUCUCCCAACCCGGCCCCUCGCGCUUUCCGGCACGCUCCGCCCGCCCCCUCGGCGCCGUUUCCCG